UACGGAGGAUCCGAGCGUUAUCCGGAUUUAUUGGGUUUAAAGGGUGCGUAGGCGGUUUGAUAAGUUAGAGGUGAAAUGUCGGGGCUCAACCCCGAAACUGCCUCUAACACUGUCGGACUAGAGAAUAGUUGCGGUAGGCGGAAUGUAUGGUGUAGCGGUGAAAUGCUUAGAGAUCAUACAGAACACCGAUUGCGAAGGCAGCUUACCAAACUAUAUCUGACGUUGAGGCACGAAAGCGUGGGUAGCAAACAGG
Molecule: ribosomal RNA, 253 nt
Filed under: uncultured bacterium
Lineage: Bacteria
Description: partial 16S ribosomal RNA
Rfam family: Bacterial small subunit ribosomal RNA
Source: RNAcentral